This 570-nucleotide long non-coding RNA is filed under the name Malus domestica (apple). RNAcentral's name for it is "long non-coding RNA (MDOM_LNC015641)". The record is from RNAcentral. Lineage: Eukaryota; Viridiplantae; Streptophyta; Magnoliopsida; Rosales; Rosaceae.
CUUUCCAAAAGAAAGAAGAGGCAUUAUGAUGUCUCCCAUUUUCUUUCUUUAUGUUGUGCACCAUUCCAAAGCUUUUCAUUUUUUUUUUGCAUGGUGUCGUACACUUUGCCCCAUACUCUUCUCCGCAUGCAGACCAUCCUUUUUUUUUUUUUUUUUUUUAAGCACAGUCACCUUAUCACAUUCUUUUGCUUAUGUGUGUCAGUGACGCUUAAGAGAUCAUUAUGGACUGCACAGUCACUGCACUAUAUGCAGACCGGUUUCAUUUGCAAUUGUUAAGACCAUUAUAUAUAUACGUAUGUAUACACGCAUAUAGGGCACCGCAUGGCCAUUGCAUAGCCACUGCACUUGUCUUGCAUCUCGUCUACACUGUCCUGCAAUCCUGUGCUGCACUGUGUUCUCCGCGUCUACCGCCGUUGAACUUGGUACUGGACAAAAGAGUGGAUGUGAGUGCAGGUUCGAACCACAAGGGUGAGUUGCCUUCCACCUCUUCGGCCUCUACAACUCUCCGUGCUAUUUGUAGAAGUUCGGUUGCGCUGGAGACGAGGAGUGAUUCAUCACCGCUCCUCUUCG